UUUGUCUUCUUUCUCUUGCCCAGCCCUGUUUUGGUUUUCUGUUAGUUCCUUUUAUUUUUUUUUUUUUCUGCUUCCCCUUCCUCUGAGGACCUGGUCCCUUCCCUCCCACUGCUAACCAGGGCUGUGGAAACUCCACCCUCUGUGCUGACCCACACAGUCACGAAGACCACAGGAAAGGAGACUUGAUGUGUGAUAGAGACCUCUUCUUCCUGAAUUGGGCCUUCAUGCACAGACACUAAUUAGAUCGUUAAUUUUUCAAUGAAGACAUUGGGAAGGACAGAAAGAGAAGACCAGCACAUCUGCCCGGCCCAGACCAACUCCCCACCACCACACGCACACCAUCUGGUUGGUGCCAGGCUUAGGUGCUGUUCUCCAGGUGCUGGAAAGGAACAUGGUGCCCCUGCCUCUUCUGGUCCAGGGGGGCCAAUACUUCACCUGUUGAUGUUCCCAGAUGAAGCCUGAAGCUGCUACAACUCAUAAUCUGGUCUCUAUCAGGCCCACCUCUGCUCUCUGGUAUCCUGGAGUCCUCUGAGAGGAAUUCUGGGAACUGCUGAGACUGGCUGGUGGCAGCCAUCCAACUCCCAUAUGGAGAUGCAGGCUGUGUCCUCGGCAGCUGACGACAUCCCUGAGGACAUCAGCCACCAGCAGCGGGACUACGUCCUCUGGCAGCAACAGAAGUUGGCCAGGGCUGGCUGGGCUCCUGCCUUCCCCGGCCAGGACAUCAGGAGAAGUGACCGUGGCGAGCACCCUGCGUACCCGCAGCUGCCCAACCUGUGACUGCUGGCCCGGGGCUCCACGCAGAGGCCUACCUCUUGCUACAGGGACAAAGACUUUCUCCUUUUACUUUCUUCACCUGGAGGUCCUCAUGAAGGAGGAUUACUAAAAUGGCCACAUUUAAGCUAACAGAUGGCUUAUUCUUAUGCUUGCCCUUAAAACGGUCAACUGACCUGACUGACCAGUUGCUACUCAUAGCUCCAGGCCCAUUGUUAAAAUAAAACUAUUAAUUUUACUGUUUCUGCUUUAUUCCAGUAAUCGAAAGUAAUAAUCAUACUUGGUUUCUGAUUUGUUCUCCAGGGAGAAGGUCACAGAACUGUAACCUUACAAAAUUGGCUAAGUACCAAGAAGACCACGCCUUGGGCGCUUACGAGAUAAAGAGAUGGAGAAAGUGACAAACCCUGGUUUCUACAGAAUUGAUCACCUGGAGGCAUCAUGACGCCACUCUAAGUUUUAUGAUGAAAAAAAUGAUUCUAUUGAUUAAUUACUGUUUGAGCUAUGGCAAUAUAAUCACCCUGCCCCAUCCCCAAGGUGGGCUCACAGUUUUGAAGGCACUAGCCUGCUCUGAGUCCCCUUUGCCCGGCAAAGUAACAAAGCUAUGUCUUUUCUUCUGAGCUCCAA
Long non-coding RNA from Camelus dromedarius (Arabian camel), 1395 nucleotides. RefSeq lists it as uncharacterized. The record is from RefSeq and is a predicted model, not a curated record. The transcript is spliced from 4 exons. Lineage: Eukaryota; Metazoa; Chordata; Mammalia; Artiodactyla; Camelidae.